CUGAAGAAUUAGGGGCAUUGAGGAAUGCAGGAUACCUCCAAAUUUUUAUAUUAAUAGGUACUGUCAUUUUUGUACUCCUCAAUACUAUAUUUAGAGAUGCUAAAAUAAAAAAAAUUGAGGAUAAAAUAGAAAAUAUUGAGGAUAAAGUAGAAAAUAUUGAGGAUAAAAUAGAAAAAAUUGAGAAUAAAAUGCAAGCCCAAUUAGAAGAUCUAAAAUGUUUCUUACAGGAUCAAUUGGCAAACAACCACUCUACCAGAAACAGACAUGUUUCUGAACCUUUGAAUAAGGAAAUUUCCUUCCCUGAAAUAGAGAUGGAAAACACCUUCCCUAUAGCCCAGUUAACAGACUGCUUCUCUCGUGCAGUGCAAAUCUUGACUGAAUUUAAUCCCCAAAACCCUUCCCCUGCAAUCCCAGUUUCUCAUGUUCCCUCUCCUACAGAAAACCAAAUUCCAACGCAAAGGAGAUCUUGUCCUCCUAGAGAAACCUGUCCUUGUCAAACUGACCCACAGGUACAAAAUUCAACUAGAGGUCUGUUUCCUCUAAGAGAAGUACCUGAAAUAGGACGGAAUGGGGAUGUGGUGACUUUAAGACAUAGGAUACCAUUUACUCCCCAAGAAAUAAAUGAAUUUACACGAAAUAUCCCCACAUAUGAACAAGAUCCUUUUCUAGUAACAAAAAAGAUGGGAGACAUAUUUUUUCAGUAUAAUCCGUCUUACAAGGACGUUGAGAACUUACUACAGGCUUUUUUAAGUGAACGUGAAAAAAAUAAAAUAAUUGCUCAUGUCAACAAAAUCCAGGGGCAUAAUGCAGCACAUUGGCCAUCUCAGGAUCCCGAAUGGUACUAUAACAAUCCUGAGGAUUAUCUACAACUAUACCAUUGUAGAGAGGCCAUCCUCACGGCAAUGAAGGAAUGUGCAGACAGUACAGAUAAGUGGAUGGAACUGGAAAAAAUUAAACAAAAGGAAGAAGAAUCACCCUCCAGAUUUAUGGAUAGAAUAAUCGAGUUUGGGGACAGAUACUUAAAUUGGGAUCUAACUAAAGAGAUUGGCUUAAGACAAGUUAGAAGGAUCUUUGUAAAUAACUCUUGCAAAGCAAUUAAGAAUUAUUUUAGAACACAAUGCCCAAGAUGGUCAGAUAUGGACCUUGAAGAAUUGCGAAAAACAGCUAUAUAUGUUUUAAAGGGAAACAAAGAAAAGGAGGAAGAAAAUAAUGAUGACAUGGAGGAAAUGAAGAAAAAAAUGAGAUAUUUAAUAGAUAGGAUAACUAAAUUAGAAAGUGGGCAUGAUAAUGAAUCAACGACAAUUGCCUCUCUCCAGAAAUCCAAUUAUCAAUCCAUUACUUGCCACUUCUGUGAGAAGAAGGGCCACAAAAUGAGGGAAUGUAGAACCUUUCUUAAGAAAGUCAAACUCUCUUUUAUAAGGACUACAUUUACAUCAAAUUAUAUAUAUUAAUAUGUGGGGAA
This is a long non-coding RNA of Monodelphis domestica (gray short-tailed opossum), 1462 nucleotides long. The record is from Ensembl. NCBI's taxonomy places the organism in Eukaryota, Metazoa, Chordata, Mammalia, Didelphimorphia, Didelphidae.